UAAGGUGACUGCCGGCUAAAAGUCGGAGGAAGUGGGGAUGACGUCAAAUCAUCAUGCCCUUAUGACCUGGGCUACACACGUGCUACAAUGGCGGUACAAAGGGUCGCGAACCCGCGAGGGGGAGCCAAUCCCAAAAAGCCGCUCUCAGUUCGGAUUGCAGGCUGCAACUCGCCUGCAUGAAGCCGGAAUCGCUAGUAAUCGCGGAUCAGCAUGCCGCGGUGAAUACGUUCCCGGGCCUU
This 239-nucleotide ribosomal RNA is filed under the name uncultured Anoxybacillus sp. RNAcentral describes it as "partial 16S ribosomal RNA". It matches the Rfam family "Bacterial small subunit ribosomal RNA", at positions 1141 to 1382 of the family's 1533-position model. Lineage: Bacteria; Bacillati; Bacillota; Bacilli; Caryophanales; Anoxybacillaceae. The record is from RNAcentral.